AGUGAACGCUGGCGGCAGGCCUAACACAUGCAAGUCGAACGGCAGCACAAGAGAGCUUGCUCUCUGGGUGGCGAGUGGCGGACGGGUGAGGAAUGCAUCGGAAUCUGCCCAUUUGUGGGGGAUAACCUCGGGAAACCGGGACUAAUACCGCAUACGACCUACGGGUGAAAGCAGGGGAUCUUCGGACCUUGCGCAGAUGGAUGAGCCGAUGCCGGAUUAGCUAGUUGGAGGGGUAAAGGCCCACCAAGGCGACGAUCCGUAGCUGGUCUGAGAGGAUGAUCGGCCACACUGGGACUGAGACACGGCCCAGACUCCUACGGGAGGCAGCAGUGGGGAAUAUUGGACGAUGGGCGCAAGCCUGAUCCAGCCAUGCCGCGUGUGUGAAGAAGGCCUUCGGGUUGUAAAGCACUUUUGUUGGGAAAGAAAAGCAGCCGGUUAAUACCCGGUUGUCAUGACGGUACCCAAAGAAUAAGCACCGGCUAACUUCGUG
RNAcentral lists this ribosomal RNA (490 nucleotides) under uncultured bacterium. RNAcentral's name for it is "partial 16S ribosomal RNA". It matches the Rfam family "Bacterial small subunit ribosomal RNA", at positions 29 to 507 of the family's 1533-position model. The record is from RNAcentral.